This is a non-coding RNA of Triticum urartu, 135 nucleotides long. NCBI's taxonomy places the organism in Eukaryota, Viridiplantae, Streptophyta, Magnoliopsida, Poales, Poaceae. The record is from Rfam.
GUUGUACUCCCUUCGUUCAAAAAUACUUGUUAUCAAGAUGAAUAAAAGAUAAUGCAUCUAGACAUAUUUUAGUUUUAGAUGCAUCACUUUUUAUCCAUUUUGAUGACAAGUAUUUUCGGACGAAGGGAGUACGUA